RNAcentral lists this small nuclear RNA (162 nucleotides) under Nannospalax galili (Upper Galilee mountains blind mole rat). RNAcentral describes it as "U1 spliceosomal RNA (ENSNGAG00000005144.1)". It matches the Rfam family "U1 spliceosomal RNA". Rfam says of the family: U1 is a small nuclear RNA (snRNA) component of the spliceosome (involved in pre-mRNA splicing). Its 5' end forms complementary base pairs with the 5' splice junction, thus defining the 5' donor site of an intron. The record is from Rfam by way of RNAcentral. Lineage: Eukaryota; Metazoa; Chordata; Mammalia; Rodentia; Spalacidae.
AUACCUACCAGGCAGGGGAGAUACAAUGAUCAUGAAAGUGGUUCUCUUAGGUGAGGCUGACCCAUGACACUUCGAAUGUGCUGACCCCUGUGAUUUCCCCAAAUGUGGGCAAACAUGAGCACAUCACUUGUGGUAGUAAGGGACUGUGUUCACACUCCCCUC